This 264-nucleotide ribosomal RNA is filed under the name uncultured bacterium. Its description in RNAcentral is "partial 16S ribosomal RNA". It matches the Rfam family "Bacterial small subunit ribosomal RNA", at positions 88 to 354 of the family's 1533-position model. The record is from RNAcentral.
CCGGCGACCGGCGCACGGGUGAGUAACACGUAUGCAACCUGCCCUCUUCAGGGGGACAACCUUCCGAAAGGGAGGCUAAUCCCGCGUAUAUCGGUUUCGGGCAUCCGAGAUCGAGGAAAGAUUCAUCGGAAGAGGAUGGGCAUGCGGCGCAUUAGCUAGACGGCGGGUAACGGCCCACCGUGGCGACGAUGCGUAGGGGUUCUGAGAGGAAGGUCCCCCACACUGGUACUGAGACACGGACCAGACUCCUACGGGAGGCAGCAG